GACGAACGCUGGCGGCGUGCUUAACACAUGCAAGUCGAACGGUGAAGGGACCAGCUUGCUGGUUCUGGAUGAGUGGCGCACGGGUGAGUAACACGUGAGUAACCUGCCCCCUUCUUCUGGAUAACCGCAUGAAAGUGUGGCUAAUACGGGAUAUUCUGGGUCUGUCGCAUGGCGGGCCCGGGAAAGAUAUUGCUUCGGUGGGGGAUGGGCUCGCGGCCUAUCAGCUUGUUGGUGGGGUGAUGGCCUACCAAGGCGGUGACGGGUAGCCGGCCUGAGAGGGUGGACGGUCACACGGGGACUGAGACACGGCCCAGACUCCUACGGGAGGCAGCAGUGGGGAAUAUUGCACAAUGGGCGCAAGCCUGAUGCAGCGACGCCGCGUGAGGGAGGGAGGCCUUCGGGUUGUAAACCUCUUUCGCCAGUGAAGCAGGCCUGCUCCUUGUGGGUGGGUUGACGGUAGCUGGAUAAGAAGCGCCGGCUAACUACGUG
RNAcentral lists this ribosomal RNA (489 nucleotides) under uncultured bacterium. RNAcentral's name for it is "partial 16S ribosomal RNA". It matches the Rfam family "Bacterial small subunit ribosomal RNA", at positions 28 to 507 of the family's 1533-position model. The record is from RNAcentral.